AGCUAAAUAGUUCAGUGAGUAGAGCAUGAGACUCCUAAUCUCAGGGUCAUAGGUUUGAGCCCCACAUUUGGCAA
Podarcis lilfordi (Lilford's wall lizard) is the source of this 74-nucleotide non-coding RNA. NCBI's taxonomy places the organism in Eukaryota, Metazoa, Chordata, Lepidosauria, Squamata, Lacertidae. The record is from the annotation of a GenBank genome assembly.